The sequence is a transfer RNA, 84 nucleotides long. It matches the Rfam family "tRNA". Rfam says of the family: Transfer RNA (tRNA) molecules are approximately 80 nucleotides in length. Their secondary structure includes four short double-helical elements and three loops (D, anti-codon, and T loops). Further hydrogen bonds mediate the characteristic L-shaped molecular structure. tRNAs have two regions of fundamental functional importance: the anti-codon, which is responsible for specific mRNA codon recognition, and the 3' end, to which the tRNAs corresponding amino acid is attached (by aminoacyl-tRNA synthetases). tRNAs cope with the degeneracy of the genetic code in two manners: having more than one tRNA (with a specific anti-codon) for a particular amino acid; and 'wobble' base-pairing, i.e. permitting non-standard base-pairing at the 3rd anti-codon position. The record is from Rfam.
GCUCCAGUAGCUCAGCGGUUAGAGCGUGCGAUUGCAGUUACGCACUCUAUCGCAAUGUCCCUUGUUCGAAUCAGGGUUGGAGCU